CGAAGCAGAGGACGCCUAUACGGAGGGUCCUCUUCAUUCAACCCCCCAGAAACAGACAUCUGUGAAACUGGCUCCCACAUGGACCAAGCCACUGGAGAGGGCGUCUUCAUCCACCACCAUGGCCACCCAAAGUCCAAGAAGUCUUCACUAUGAGGAUCCACACCUCACUGGAGCUACUGCGAUGGACAAGUGCCACCUGCCAUUGUUGUUGGACGCAAGCAUGACCUCUGAGACCGGUAC
Long non-coding RNA from Engraulis encrasicolus (European anchovy), 240 nucleotides. RefSeq lists it as uncharacterized. The transcript has 3 exons. The record is from RefSeq and is a predicted model, not a curated record. NCBI's taxonomy places the organism in Eukaryota, Metazoa, Chordata, Actinopteri, Clupeiformes, Engraulidae.